RNAcentral lists this unclassified non-coding RNA (909 nucleotides) under Hevea brasiliensis (rubber tree). The record is from RNAcentral. Lineage: Eukaryota; Viridiplantae; Streptophyta; Magnoliopsida; Malpighiales; Euphorbiaceae.
AACUGUUGCUGAUGGUGCUCCAGUUGUACCAAUCUCUGCGCAAUUGAAGUACAACAUCGAUGUUGUUGCUGAAUAUAUUGUGAAGAAAAUUCCCAUUCCUGAGAGGAAUUUCAUUUCACCACCAAAUAUGAUAGUCAUCCGAUCAUUUGAUGUUAAUAAACCUGGUUUUGAAGUUGAUGAUAUCAGAGGGGGUGUUGCUGGUGGCAGUAUUUUGAAGGGUGUACUGAAGGUUAAUCAACUUAUUGAGAUUCGUCCUGGAAUUGUUGUGAAAGAUGAGAGUGGCAACAUCAAAUGUACUCCAAUAUAUUCAAGAAUAGUAUCAUUGUUUGCCGAGCAAAAUGAACUUCAAUUUGCCGUGCCUGGAGGCCUCAUUGGAGUUGGAACAACUAUGGAUCCAACAUUGACUCGUGCUGAUCGUUUGGUCGGACAGGUUCUUGGGGAGGUUGGCUCACUUCCUGAAGUGUUUGUUGAACUGGAGGUAAAUUUCUUCUUGCUCCGCCGUCUUCUGGGAGUGAGGACAAAGGACACGGAAAGGCAGGGUAAAGUCUCAAAGUUGGCCAAGGGAGAGAUUCUCAUGUUAAACAUAGGAUCUAUGUCAACUGGGGCUCGUGUUGUCGCUGUUAAGAAUGUCUUCGCAAAACUGCAAUUGACAUCACCUGUGUGUACCAGCAAAGGUGAGAAAAUUGCUCUUAGCAGGAGAAUCGAGAAGCACUGGCGUCUCAUAGGUUGGGGCCAAAUCCAAGCUGGUAUCACCCUUGAUGUUCCCCCUUGCCCAAUCUGAGUGAACUACACACAAACACGAUUUUGACAUUUAGAUGUGGAGAGGCAUACAUUUGUUAGGAACUACAAAAGAUUAUCUUAAAUUUCGAAUACUUUGUAAUUUGCAAUGUUUCCUUUUUCUUAUUUACG